RNAcentral lists this long non-coding RNA (1694 nucleotides) under Dermacentor andersoni. Its description in RNAcentral is "uncharacterized LOC126525776". The record is from RNAcentral. Lineage: Eukaryota; Metazoa; Arthropoda; Arachnida; Ixodida; Ixodidae.
AAGGAGGAGGUUGCUCUGCUGUUCUUGCACAGCUACAUAGUGUAAAAGUUGAGGAGAGAGUUUUCGUAUUCCGACCUGCCACUACUACUACUCGUCGAACAACUACACAAUCGCGUCGUCCAGCAACCUUCAAGGGUCAAGGACGCUAGUGGAACUUCUUGCAGUCGUCCCAUCAAGCACUGAAUGGAGCCUAGAGCAACAUGGAAGAAAUGCCAUUCUUUGUUUCAACGGAUCACAGAAUACAAGAAAAGUUUGGUUGGGCACCGCGGGCAUUCCUGUCGAGCUGAAGAAUAAAAUUUUCCUCAUCUCUCGUUGAAAGACGCUGCAUGUCCUAAACUUUCGUCAAAUCUUCUUACUAGCAUUCGUGUAAGACAUUUGAACAUAUCUAUCUUGCACAGGUUGUAAAAUUUCUCUUAAUGGAAUUAAUUAUUUAACUCCUGUCAACAUGACUAAAAAAGAAGGCUUUCUUUCAACACUCAGCUAUUAUAUCUAAACUCAGUAUCUCUUCUCCGUGCUACUAUCUGUCUUCAAUUCUGAUUGCACAUUAUUCGACUUUGCCGAAGCGUUUGGCACCAUUUCACACUAAUGUCUGUCUCGAAAGCUGGAUAAUGCAAACAUUGACCAAACUGUUUUUUCUUGAAAUAAAAGAUUUCUGCAAAGGUAAGUUCCCAGUACGUAGUGGCUAACAGUUAUUCUUCGUCUUUUCAACCUGUAAUCUGGGGUAACACAAGGAUGUGUCCUUGGUCUCCUGCUUACUCUCAUUUUUCUUACCACUUUCCCCGACGGUUUACUGUUUUUCUCUAUUAAAUUAUUCGCAGAAAAUUGUGUAAUCUACCACAAAAUUACUAAAGCUGGUGACUCUCGUAACCUUCAAAGUGACCUUGACAGAAUACCUUCGUACUGCAAGAGCUGGAACUUGAAUCUCAAUAUUAACAAAUUUAAAUAUACGCAAGUAUCUCGUAGUAUGAACACGAACACAAAUGCACUCCCUUAUAUCAUCAGUGGUACCAGACUAGACUCAGAUGUCCCCUACAGCCAUCUGCCGUGUGAUAUCGCCUUCUAACCUCACAUGGAAAGCACACUUCAACUACGUAAGUCGCUAUGCCAAUAGUCGGCAAUGCGGGAGCCUUCUCAAAGUACUCUAAUUCAACUCAUUCAAAGCGUUCAUAAGCGUGAUUCUGGUUUUAUGUUGUCUAAUUAUUUUCUUUACGCAGGUGUUACGCCUAUGAAACCUCAGUCAACAUGAACUCUCAUGUCGUCCCAAUGUGCACAAUUGUGUAUUUUGCGUCAAAUUUAUCAUUCAAACCCCACUAUAAAUGAGCAAAGUAUAAUACGUCCAUCAUGAAAUCGUCGCGCUACAAUCGUAGCCUUAAAAAUCGUUUAACAUUUGCCGUACAAAGCUGUGCCAUCAUGCUUAUACAACAUGAGCAAGUCUUCAAUACAACCACCUGCUCUUUUUCAUCUCCGUUAUUCCGGACAAUGCAAGUUUGAAAACGGCCGUGAUCAACACGGUAUGUGGAACUUUACAGUGGGAGACGUAUGUCUUUGUUAUUUAUGAACCACUCCUUUCUCUAGUGCCUUCAGGCUUGUAAAUGAAACUAAUACUAAAUAAAUAAAUCUGUUGUUACUAACUAGAGCUUAACGAAAAUUUCACUGCGGAAAGCAUUUCAAUAAAAUGUAUAUACAAGAGCGGC